This 2966-nucleotide long non-coding RNA is filed under the name Homo sapiens (human). RNAcentral's name for it is "PREDICTED lncRNA (TCONS_00124819)". Lineage: Eukaryota; Metazoa; Chordata; Mammalia; Primates; Hominidae. The record is from RNAcentral.
ACUUCCGCGUUUCUGGCGCGUGGUCUUGCAUUUCCUACUUGGUCCUGUUCGUGGCGCCGCGCCUCCGGGUGUUGGGGAGUCCGGGAUGAUGGGGAAUCCGGGGCUCGCCCUAGUCGCGGGGACACCGCCUUCCAGGAGCUGUCCCCAGGCAAACUCACAGACAUCUUCAAAGAGCCUUCUUGGACAUUCUGCUUUUUGCUCCUCAUAACAGGCUUCGAUGGAGUUUCUCUCUUAUUUUCCAGGCUGCAGUACAGUGGCGUGAUCUCGGCUCACUGCAACCUCCACCUCCCAGGUUCAAGCGAUUCUCCUGUCUUAGCCUCACGAGUAGCCGGGAUUACAGGCACAUGCCCCCAUUCCCAGCUAAUUUUUGUAUUUUUAGUAGUGACGGGGUUUCAUCAUAUUGGUCAGGCUGGUCUCAAACUCCUGACCUCAGGUGAUCCGCCUCGGCCUCCCAAAGUGUUGGGAUUACAGGCGUGAGCCACCCACUGUAUCUCUUGUUCGGAGGAAUAUCUAAUCAAGAAAAUCAUUUUUACUGUUUUUAUUUUUUGGUUUGUUCGUUUUUUUCCUGUGAGAUGGAGUUUCACUCUUGUUGCCCAUCCUGGUGUACAAUGGCGCGAUCUCGGCUCACUUCAACCUCCGCCUCCCAGUGCGUCCGGAAUUGGUGGGUUCUUGGUCUCACUGACUUCAAGAAUGAAGCUGCGCACCCUCACGAACUUGUCAGAUAUGCUCUCCCAGCCCUUCUUACUAAGGACAAUGGGUACUUGUCCAAGCCCAUCCACCAUUCUGUCAGUCGCAUCCUAAGAAGAGAUCAGAGAAGAUUCUCUCCUAGACCACGCAAAAUAGACCGAUCAUCUUUGGCACGUGUGGCCAUGACCCACAUGAGGAUUUAUAAGCGACCUAGUCACCGGGACUUCAUGUGGUUACCUUUUCUGAAUGGCUCCCGGUUCUCCUCUGCUUCCCUGUUGACUCGGUUUUGUUCUGGUUCAACAGCAGACCCCUGGUCAUCAAGUUCAUCUUCUGUUUCAUCAUCACUGUAGGGAACCACUUCGUCAUUAGGCUGAGAAUCCUCGUCAAAUGUCGUUUCUGAGUCUCUUUCUGUACUCAUUCUGCUGGCAAAUUGGAACUACCUGCUUAAAAGGAAAGAGAAACCAGAGUGAAUUAUGACUCUUGCCCAGUUUUUGGUUGAAUACUGCCUGCAUGCUGCUACAAUGCCCCUUUUACAGAACAUUGUCUAACAUGUAAAUAUUCUGGAAUAGUACCCCCAAAUUCAACUUGACAUGAAGACAAGAACAAAACCAUUCAGUACUGAUUAAAUGCUUGGGAUAAUGUGCAACAAUCUAGAUGAUCCAAAGAGUAUUUGAUGACAUUGCAUUAAUGACCUUAAGUUAAUAGCUGCACCCUUCUGGUUACCGCUAGAACUGAGCUUUCGCUCGCCGUCCACCACUGCUGUUUUGCUGCCGUCGCAGACCCGCCGCUGACUUCCAUCCCUCCAAUCCAGCAGGGCGCCCGCUGUGCUCCUGAUCCAGGGAAGCACCCGUUGCCACUCCUGAUCGCGCUAAAGGCUUGCCAUUGUUCCUGCAUGGCUAAGUGCCUGGUUUCGUCCUAAUCAAGCUGAACACUAGUCACUGGGUUCCACGGUUCUCUUCCGUGACCCACGACUUCUAAUAGAGCUAUAACACUCACCGCACGGCCCAAGAUUCCAUUCCUUGGAAUCCGUGAGGCCAAGAACCCCAGGUCAGAGAACACGAGGCUUGCCACCAUCUUGGAAGUGGCCUGCCGCCAUUUUGGAAGUGGCCCACCACCAUCUUGGGAGCUCUGGGAGCAAGGACCCCUGCCUCCUGGGCUCAAGCAAUUCUCCCACCUCAGCCUCCUGAGUAGUUGAGACUAUAGGCAUCUGGAUAUUAAGACUGUCUCCAGCCCUUUGAGGUUGAGAGAGGAAGCAAGCACGGAGGAAUGGAUUUGACAACCCACAUGUCCGUGACUCAAAGCAAGCAAGGCCUUGCACAACCAACUCGCCACCCACACAAUCUGCACAGUCUCAGUGAGAAAGCAGGAGCAGGGAGCUCUCCGCUGAGAGUGAAGAAAUGUCCUCAACUCGACUUCUCUGCAGUGUGCAUGUGUGUGAAACACAGACACACACGGGAGGAAUUUGGCUCUGUCAUUUUAGUGUACCAAAGAAAAAAAAACAGGGAGAAAUCACUUGUUUGAAGCCCUAAAUGACAUAAGGAAGAUUUUCCCAGAUCUAAAUAAUGAUCCCUAAGGUCAGGUGCUGUGUAUGGUAUGGAUUUGGAAACUUCAUAAUGUCUCUGACCACCACUCCAGGACACUGCAGACAGGUGUGCAUUUACUCAGCAUCCAGUAAACACCUGCAAGGUGCAGAGUACUACACUAGGCACAGGGAACAGAGCUACUGACUGACUGCCAGAGUUUCGAAGAAUACAGAUAAGUCAACUAUUAAAGCUAGGAAACAGACCGGAUGCGGUGGCUCACGCCUGUAAUCCCAGCACUUUGGAAGACCGAGGCGGGUGGAUCAACUGAGGUCAAGAGUUCAAGACCAGCCUGCCAACAUGGUGAAACUCCGUCCCUAUUAAUAAUACAAAAAAAUUAGCUGGGCAUGGUGGCACAUGCCUGUAAUCCCAGCUAUUCGGGAGGCUGAGGCAGGAGAAUUGCUUGAACCCAGGAGGCUGCAGUGAGCUGAGAUCGCGCCAUUGCACUCCAGCCUGGGCAACAAGAGCGAAACUCUGCCUCCAAUAAAUAAAUAAAUAAAAUAAAAUAAAAUAAAAUAAAGCCAUAAAACAGUAAAGCCAGUCGUUUUUGCCUCAAAUACUCCUCCAAUUCAUCACCUCCUCUCUAUCUCCAUGGCCACCAUCAUCUCUCCCUGGAAAUGCUGCGAGAUCCCUCUAACUAGACUUUCCACAAUUAACUUCCACAUGACCACCAAAGGCAUGCCAUUCUCCUGCUUACAC